UAAGAUGGACACUUUCUAAAGCGCCGUCGAAGGCCAUUCCACCCUGCUAGGCUAAGAUGACGCUCUCUAAAGCAUCGUCGGAGGUACCACAACCACAUCCCCUCUCGUGGAAGUGCGACGACGCUUUAGAAAGCAUUAUCGGAAGCCACUUCCAACCAAACCUUCCCCACUCCCCAACCUAAUAAAUUUCUAACCUCUCCCAAUCCGUAACCCAUCUCCCCCCUCCCUAGCGAAGCAUCCUAGCGAGCAGUGCCCGGCAAUGGCAGCCGCUGAGGUAAUGCCGGUGCGCGAGAAGCACGUCCCAAGUCCAAAUUCCCCAAUGUAUUUCGAGUGCGGUGUCGUGGGUGCGUGGAGAGAGGCGUUCUCCACCUGCAACACCCCUUCUCCAAUCCCUCGACCGCACUGAGCUCCCCCUCCUCCUCCGCCGUCGGGAACCCCACCCCUUCUUCUCUAAGUCGGAGCUAACAGUAUUGAAGGGGGUGCACCCAAAGAUGGCUCCGACGUUCUGGCUGCUUAUGCGCCGGAUCUCGCGCCAUUAAUGUCCGAUGGGGUAUGGUUUGGGGUUGGUUCUUUUCCUAUUUUAAGGGCUCAACCCUGCUUCCGAGAAAUACAACCGGCAGAUUUGCCUCUCUCCUUCCUUUUCUCCUUUCGCUGCUCUCCCUACUUCCUAGGUCCGCGCCAUCUUCCGCUUUUCUUGACUUGGAUCUUGAGCCCGAUGAGCUCUCCAACCCCUCCAUCGGUUCCGUCUUCCUCCCCCUCCAGCAUUGCGGCAACACACGUCGAGGACCGGCGCCUGGUGGAUCCGACCGCCGCGACAAGAAGGCAGCAAGGAAGGAUGUGGUGCCCUCCCCGGUCUCAGGUUUUCGUAUAUGUUUCCUGCUGUUUGGUUGCCAAGAUAAGGGUUAGGAGAAAAUGGCGAUGCACAGCCUCAUCAGCCUCACCUCCAAAGCCGAGAUCCGCUACGAGGGCAUCCUCGUCUCCAUUAACCCCCAGGAGUCCACCAUUGCCCUCCAGAACGAAUUUGUGCAGAAACCUACUGGUCCAAUAAGCCAGCAGCAACGAUCCCCAGGAGAUAUGGCCUUAUUGUUGUCGGCUUUUCUUCCGAGGAGACUCUCCUUCACGU
This is a long non-coding RNA of Phoenix dactylifera (date palm), 1123 nucleotides long. RefSeq lists it as uncharacterized. Lineage: Eukaryota; Viridiplantae; Streptophyta; Magnoliopsida; Arecales; Arecaceae. The record is from RefSeq and is a predicted model, not a curated record.